UUUGAGAUCGGAAAAUGUGACAUUCAACUUCUUUCUCUUUGUACGCAUUUCCACUUCAUAUUUAACACCUAUAUCUCUGCCCUUAAGAAGCAUGAUCAAUCAGGCCUUGUGCUGCCGGAAUUUUGUUCGGCCUUUGGUAUAAAGGUUCGGUUUAGUGAUCUAAUUGUACGUAUUGGCUUCACCACGUUAGAUUACCUUUAAUGUUUUGAGGAAGCUUAUAUGGAAACCACCUACUCUGGAAGUGGUCAAUGGUGAACAAGCGACCCAUUUGGAAUCUUUCAUGAGUUGAAGUCCACCAACUUGAUCUUGAUAAAGGAUUGUGAGGAAAUCACUGUCAGUGUGAGGUACUAAUCCAAAAAUUUCUUCUUUAGAUUUUGGGCAGGACGGAUAGUGAUUCAACCUCAGAAAGCAUGUGCUGGCAUCACAGAGUUUUUCAACAGCAUCUGUUGGGUGGCCCAAGUUUUCUGCUAGAAUGCCAGCCAGUAGCCUAGACACUUCUAGCAUAGCUGGUGUAAACUUAUUUAUUGCUUCUCUGCAGACAGGUUUAGAAACAAAUUAGUAACUUCCAGUUCUUUCUAAGGGUGAAAUCAUGCAUGCACAACAUAACUGUCUGUCAUUCGAAGCAGGUUGGCUCUAGACAACUACAUUUUGCUCAGAAGGACUAGUCAGUGCUUGUCUGAGCAUAAAUUCUAGAAGCCAACCUGUCAAGAUCUGUAAUAACCUAACAAGUGGUCAUUUGGUCUAUAUUCAAAUAAUUUGAUUUAUCUCUCUGAGCAUAAAGUAAGUAUUCUAGAA
Long non-coding RNA from Cicer arietinum (chickpea), 795 nucleotides. RefSeq lists it as uncharacterized. The record is from RefSeq and is a predicted model, not a curated record. Lineage: Eukaryota; Viridiplantae; Streptophyta; Magnoliopsida; Fabales; Fabaceae.